UUGAUUUGCCUAUUCCUAUAAAAAUUUCAGUUGCUAAAAGCGGUGAAUAUAUUUUAGCUAAGAAAAAAGGAACACUACAUGUCAGCAGCAAUAUGGGUGUUCGAGGAACACUAGAAGACGUUCUUUUCUGCCCCGAGGCGCCCUACAACUUGCUAUCUGUUUCGAAGUUGCAACAGGCUGGAGCUACUGUCAUAUUUGAUCACAGAGGUACCCGCAUAUGUAAGCAAGGUCAACAACUUGCAGAUGCGUUAACAAAACCAUUACCAGCGGUUACGUUUCAUGAAAUGAGGAGAAACAUGGGUUUACAAUAAUAAUAUUUAAUGAGUUGGCUACUAUUUGUUAUUAAUUUAAUUAUUCUGUUAUACUCAUUGUGUUCUAAUAAUUAUAUCUAAUGUAUAUAAUGUAUCGAAUUUAAGAUGAUGAAAUGAUCUGAUAAGGUUUUUCUGGGUUUUCCCUUAUCCGAGCAACAAAUGUUGGAUCAUUAUUUUUGUAUUUUCCCAGACUCGCUUGGAAGUUAUAUAGUUCUGUUUAGGCAUUUGAUUUGUACAAGAAUUAAUUUUUGAGGGGGCGUGUUGAUUUAUUUGAGUAAGAUUGCAAAAAUUAAUCAUUGUAUUGACUAUUUCCUGUCAUUUGAAUGAGCGAUCGAGCCGCCAUCUUGUCGAGGCGCCAAAUUGUCUUUACCUCACUCUGCUCCAGGUCAUUUCUGAUUCUUUCCAAUUUGUAUCGUGGUAGGAAGCAGACAUAUCACUUCCAAGUUAAACAGUGAAUAUAUUUCUUUAUUACGGAUA
Pieris brassicae (large cabbage white) is the source of this 788-nucleotide long non-coding RNA. RefSeq lists it as uncharacterized. The record is from RefSeq and is a predicted model, not a curated record. The transcript has 2 exons. NCBI's taxonomy places the organism in Eukaryota, Metazoa, Arthropoda, Insecta, Lepidoptera, Pieridae.